Molecule: long non-coding RNA, 252 nt
Organism: Helianthus annuus (common sunflower)
Lineage: Eukaryota; Viridiplantae; Streptophyta; Magnoliopsida; Asterales; Asteraceae
Exons: 3
Source: RefSeq, a predicted model, not a curated record
UGUACACGCGUCCGCGUAUGUGAUUCUUCACUGCAUGUAUUUUGUUUGACAACACAAUUGAAAGUCUUUUUCUUCUUCACUUGGCUCCCUACGGCUUCCUUUUAAGUCCUUUUCUUCUUCACUUGGCUCUCUACAGCUUCUUUCCUUACAGGUUGACAGUCACAUGCAACCAGCAGCAAGUGUUAGUUCUGAAGAAAAUAUUCGUUGAAGGUUCACUGGCGUUUCCAUGUGCAUUCGCAUAGUUGACUAAGG